UUGUCUCUCUCCAUUUCCGCCGUGGUCAUACCUAGCAUGCCUCUGGCAGGCAGGCACACACGUCCUAGCUCUUCACAGCCAUACCGGAAGUGAAAAGAGACUCCUCCCACUUCCGCCUGUGGCUGUGCACCCGUGAAACCCCAGUUCUUUUUCUCGCUACGCAGGUUACACACACGCGUUUCUAGCUCCGCGUUUUUUCGCGUUUACUUCUAUUACAAGUUUCGUUUGAGUGUUAUUAGACAUGUCUAGUCUCUAAGUUCUUAGUUCUUUGCUAAUACACUUCUGGGAAGUGUUUUUUUCGUGCGUGAGGAGGUUUGGUCGCGUCAAAUCUUACGCAGCUCCGACACGUGUGACGGGCAACAUGUCCAGGCACGCAUCCGCCCCCUCGCCCCUGGAAUCUUCGACGGAAGCUGAGCGCUUGUUGGCGUUGUGCGAGUCUCUUGUUUCCGGAGAGUAGCCAGCAAAACGAGCUACUACUAGGUGGGCGGACACCCGUGGCUCCGCAGGAGUGGAAUGACCAGCAUCCUCCCAUGCUAAUAUUGACGUGCGGUUGACCGAUCGUUUUUCGGCAGAGUUUCCCGCGGCGGUUUAAUAGGAGAGCGGCACGUCGCUCAGAGAGUCAUCGUUCACCAACAUGUCGAACCGUGUCCGCGUUUUUUCGGGUAUUCGUAGUAGUUAUCAGCGGUUUGUUUACAGCGACGUCUAGGCUUCGUCUCCUCGACCGCUUCGGCAGCAUGUUCCAACCGCCCGCGGGCCCUUCCGCCUUUUAUCAGUGUUUCAGGUGAGCUACGCUCGCACCACAUUCCUGCCUGGGCGGAGACGUUUGCAGUUCCACCGAGCCCACUUCGGCAGGGUAGCGCGGAUGUGCUGCCAACACAAUAAUGGUGCACCAUGUGACACCUUUGGGACACAACAGCAGAGAACCCAUUCCAACCAGUCUUCCUCGGAAUUUGGUCAUGGGUCACAGCAGCAUGUAUCAGGUGUCAGCGGACACGAGAAUGUAUCUGAGAUGUAGUGCGGCCUUUUCGGAGCCCGACGAUUCUCACACAGCCGGCAUGCAGACCGGGAGUGUGACUAGUAUCAGCCGUCGUUUCUUGCUCAGCUGGCAGACCGCCAUCAAGACGUACGCAGGGCCGUUUAUGAGCCAUGCUGCUGGAGACUGCAGGCCUAGGCCACAUAGAAUCAUCCUGACUGGCGCCGCAAUCGUCUACGGUUCCAGGGCGCCUUCCGCUGAGCGGACACAAGCACCGAAUGCAGCGAUGGUAGGUAAGUGUAUUCCAAGCCAUGCUGCAGGUGAGUGGAAAGUCCAAUUCAGGACUAUAGCAACGUGCCUAACCAUAGGCGUCAAGCUGAGGUAUGUUUUUGUUCACUUUCGUGGUGCGUGUUAUACUCGCCCAAAUGACUUUUUGCGGUGUUUUUUAUUACUUCAAUCCCGUCUAACAGGGUCAAAAUGACCGUAGGAGGCACCCAGUGCCUUUUGGCGAGGAUUUUUCUCACGCUGGCAGUCUCGUAGCGACGUCUCUGCCUAGUUUUUAAAGUAAUCCGUUUCAUACCGUUCAUGAAUUUUCUCAAAUUCUUGAGUUGUUGAUUCUUGGUUUACUGAGAACGUUAUAGUACGUUCAUGAUUGUGCCAGGUAGGGUUGGAAAAAUGUUUCUCCAUGGGGAGAGUUUAUGCAGUAAAGUUAUGUGGUUUUCAUUGUUUUACUGCCAGUACUUCCAGUAUGGAGCCAUGCUACGCCUCUUUAGAGGUAAAUGAGGGUUUGUUAAACCCAUUGUUUUUGCUCCGCUGUUUAUUGUUGACUGUUAUGCAAAAUUUGCUGUUACUACUUGGCUUAGAUCGCCAGGUUGCUUAGCAUUUUUAUGCAAAUGUAUUGGAAUGGAUCGUUGAGCGCACUUUCCGUAAUAUUUCUCGUUCGGGUCACUCGUCGUCACUGUCAUGUAAAAUUUUCGUGGCUACGUUAGCGUUGAUCGCCAUCGUGUUCGACUUUUCUUAAAGCUCCUUGGUUAUUCUGUUUCAAGCUGAUCAAGCAGCUUCCGCUGUUUCAGAGUUGUCUGACCAUUUUAGGUCUUCGCGGUUUUCGUUACUUGGUAUGUUACUUGAGUUUCUUUUCGCUGAUGUAUGUUUUCGAUUGUUUUCGCUCUCGCGUACCAGUUUUCGUUUUGUUUUCGGGUCUUUUAGACGCGCAUUUUCGCCGUUUUUUUUGUAGGCUAGCCAGGCGUUGACCUCGGGUGUUAGGAAGUCUCACGCUUCUUUUGAAUAUUUUACCUUUUGAAUUUUUUACCGCUACGGCGGUGGCCGCUUUGGAACGUGGUGUUAGGUCGGACUUCGCCAUCAGCUGUUUACGUGUUAAUCUUUUUACCAUUGUCAUCACAAGCCGUGUGCCUUAUGAGUGUAUGAAUGAAAGACCUUUGUGGUACAUUCUUUUCUCGACGGACUAGAUAGGCUGCCUUUCAAAUAGGCCUUGUUCAAGCAUCUCUUGUUCGUCCGUCGGGUUCCAAGUUCAAGCUUAGCUCAUCCUGACCACAUCACAUUCGUCUGCCGUCAACGCGUAUGUUACAUGUCCAUUGUAGUUCAUGCGACAAUCGCUACAUGGCGCUGUUUUUAGGUCAGACUUUGCGUGUAUUUUUAAUAUGGCGUCUCUCGCACUUGAGUGACUCGUCUUCUGACGUGCAACACAUUGUCUUUGCCGCGUUGUUUCAUCGAGCCUUUGUCUUUUUUACCCGGGUUACUUCCAUGUUUUUUUGUAUACCGUUGUAGUUUUUCUGAUGUGGGCUACGCCAGCCGUCAGUUUCGGUUUUCGUCUGUGCAGACGGGAUUUUAGCGCUUCCGAAGUAGCGCAUCCUUACUCGGCUUUCGAGUUAGCGUGUUCGUUACCUUGUACGGUACCGGUCAUCUCCGACGACUUUUACAGCAUUCGAACGUGUUUCGAUUUUGCACUCUUAGCCAUGGGCUUUCUUGUUCACCCACACAGUGGGACGAGUCUUUUUGUUACGGCAUUAACCGUUAAUGAUUGGUGCGUUCAUUUCAGGUACUCAGCCGGCCAGUUAUACUUACCGCUCUUGCUGGAAACGGUAGGCGGCUUCACAGAGUUUCGGGUCGUUCCGUAUUCACGCGUUACUUUCACAAGGAUUCCGGUGUUUUUCUUACAGGCGUGUGCUUCGAUCUUCCCGGAUCGUUUCUACAGCACGUUCCCAUAGCAACCUUUGACGGUUUGCCCAGUUCCUUGCCCACAGGUCAAGGCGGUUUAUGUGUUAUAACGUUAUUUACUUUCUUGCCAGAGAAAGUUUUAUAGGACUUCUGUCUCUGUUAUGAAGAUUUGAGUAAAAUUGAGUCGAUUUAUUCCUCCUUUUCAUCUUUUUUCUUUUUGAAUGAAUCAGGUGGUACC
Branchiostoma floridae (Florida lancelet) is the source of this 3386-nucleotide long non-coding RNA. RefSeq lists it as uncharacterized. The record is from RefSeq and is a predicted model, not a curated record. The transcript is spliced from 2 exons. NCBI's taxonomy places the organism in Eukaryota, Metazoa, Chordata, Leptocardii, Amphioxiformes, Branchiostomatidae.